UGAAUACGAGACGCUAAGGCGUCGAAGUAGUGUAUGUCAUACUUCCAAGAAAAGCAUGCACUGUCAUAGAUAAAAAACGCCUGUACCAUAACCGACACAGGUGGGUAGGUAGAGUAUACUAAGGGGCGCGAGAUAACUCUCUCUAAGGAACUCGGCAAAAUAACUCCGUAACUUCGGGAGAAGGAGUGCCUUAUUCGUAAGGUUGCAAUAACAAGAUCCAAGCAACUGUUUAUCAAAAACACAGGUCUCCGCUAAGUCGUAAGACGAUGUAUGGGGGCUGACGCCUGCCCAGUGCCAGAAGGUUAAAGAAGUUGGUUAGCAAUUGCGAAGCUGAUAACUGAAGCCCUGGUGAACGGCGGCCGUAACUAUAACGGUCCUAAGGUAGCGAAAUUCCUUGUCGGGUAAGUUCCGACCCGCACGAAAGGCGUAAUGAUUUGGAUACUGUCUCGGAGAGGGGCUCGGUGAAAUAGACUUGUCUGUGAAGAUGCGGACUACCUGCACCAGGACAGAAAGACCCUAUGAAGCUUUACUGUAACUUGAAAUUGAAAUUGGACUUUAUUCGCGCAGCAUAGGUGGGAGGCGUUGAUUAUAAUCUUGCGGGAUUAUUGGAGCCAUCAGUGAGAUACCACUCUUGUAAUGUUAGAUUUCUAACUUUGAAUCAUUAUCUGGUCAAAGAACAGUUUCAGGCGGGCAGUUUGACUGGGGCGGUCGCCUCCUAAACGGUAACGGAGGCGUACAAAGGUUUCCUCUGAACGGUUAGAAAUCGUAUCUAGAGUGUAAAGGCAUAAGGAAGCUUGACUGUGAGACCUACAAGUCGAGCAGGGACGAAAGUCGGUCUUAGUGAUCUGACGGUACUGAGUGGAAAGGCCGUCACUCAACGGAUAAAAGUUACUCUAGGAUAACAGGCUGAUCUCCCCCAAGAGUUCACAUCGACGGGGAGGUUUGGCACCUCGAUGUCGGCUCAUCGCAUCCUGGGGCGGUAGUACGUCCCAAGGGUUGGGCUGUUCGCCCAUGAAAGCGGUACGCGAGCUGGGUUCAGAACGUCGUGAGACAGUUCGGUCCAUAUCCGGUGUAGGCGUUAGAAUAUUGAGAGGAGCCUUCUUUAGUACGAGAGGACCGAGAAGGACAUACCUCUGGUGUACCAGUUAUCGUGCCAACGGUAAACGCUGGGUAGCUAUGUAUGGAGUGGAUAACCGCUGAAAGCAUCUAAGUGGGAAGCCCACCUCAAGAUAAGUAUUCUCAUC
This 1244-nucleotide ribosomal RNA is filed under the name metagenome. RNAcentral's name for it is "bacterial LSU rRNA". It matches the Rfam family "Bacterial large subunit ribosomal RNA", at positions 1564 to 2818 of the family's 2925-position model. The record is from RNAcentral.